AGUGAACGCUGGCGGUAGGCCUAACACAUGCAAGUCGAACGGCAGCACCGUAAGAGCUUGCUCUUACGGGUGGCGAGUGGCGGACGGGUGAGGAAUACAUCGGAAUCUACUUUUUCGUGGGGGAUAACGUAGGGAAACUUACGCUAAUACCGCAUACGACCUACGGGUGAAAGCAGGGGAUCUUCGGACCUUGCGCGAUUGAAUGAGCCGAUGUCGGAUUAGCUAGUUGGCGGGGUAAAGGCCCACCAAGGCGACGAUCCGUAGCUGGUCUGAGAGGAUGAUAGGCCACACUGGAACUGAGACAGGGUCCAGACUCCUACGGGAGGCAGCAGUGGGGAAUAUGGGACAAUGGUCGCAAGCCUGAUCCAGCCAUACCGCGUGGGUGAAGAAGGCCUUCGGGUUGUAAAGCCCUUUUGUUGGGAAAGAAAAGCAGCAGGUUAAUACCCCGCUGUUCUGACGGUACCCAAAGAAUAAGCACCGGCUAACUUCGUG
RNAcentral lists this ribosomal RNA (492 nucleotides) under uncultured bacterium. Its description in RNAcentral is "partial 16S ribosomal RNA". It matches the Rfam family "Bacterial small subunit ribosomal RNA", at positions 29 to 507 of the family's 1533-position model. The record is from RNAcentral.